CUGGAGGGGAGCUGACGAAGAAGCCGCAUCCGGAUGAUGUAAUUACUUUUACAGAUGAAGAUGAUCGAGGCAUUCAAACUCCCCAUGACGAUGCUGUUGUUGUCUCGACAAUAAUAGCAAAUUAUGAUGUAAAAAGAAUCUUUGUAGAUAAUAGAAGUUCAACGAACAUUUUGUUUUACUCGACCUUCUCUCGGAUGCGCCUGUCGACCGACCGACUCAAGCGAGUCUCUACGCCCCU
Molecule: long non-coding RNA, 238 nt
Filed under: Elaeis guineensis (African oil palm)
Lineage: Eukaryota; Viridiplantae; Streptophyta; Magnoliopsida; Arecales; Arecaceae
Description: long non-coding RNA (EGUI_LNC012250)
Source: RNAcentral